AGUGCAUGUGGUGGAUGCCUUGGCGAUUACAGGCGAAGAAGGACGUACAAGCCUGCGAAAAGCUCUGGGGAGCUGGCAAUGAAGCUUUGAUCCAGAGAUGUCCGAAUGGGGAAACCCACUCCGCAAGGAGUAUCCCACGCUGAAUACAUAGGCGUGAGGAAGCGAACCCGGCGAACUGAAACAUCUCAGUAGCCGGAGGAACAGAAAUCAACCGAGAUUCCCAAAGUAGUGGCGAGCGAAAUGGGAACAGCCUGCAAGUGAUAGCGAUUGGGUUAGCGGAAGCCUCUGGAAAGUGGCGCCAUAGGGGGUGAUAGCCCCGUACGCGAAAACGUGAUCGUGGUACCAAGCUUGCGACAAGUAGGGCGGGGCACGAGAAAUCCUGUCUGAAUAUGGGGGGCCCAUCCUCCAAGGCUAAAUACUCGUAAUCGACCGAUAGUGAACCAGUACCGUGAGGGAAAGGCGAAAAGAACCCCGGGAGGGGAGUGAAAUAGAUCCUGAAACCGCAUGCAUACAAACAGUGGGAGCCCCUUUGUGGGGUGACUGCGUACCUUUUGUAUAAUGGGUCAGCGACUUACGUUCAGUAGCGAGCUUAACCGCAUAGGGGAGGCGUAGGGAAACCGAGUCCGAAUAGGGCGCCCAGUUGCUGGACGUAGACCCGAAACCAAGUGAUCUAUCCAUGGCCAGNNNNNNNNNNAAUAGGGGAGGCGUAGGGAAACCGAGUCUGAUAAGGGCGAUAGUUGCUGGACGUAGACCCGAAACCAAGUGAUCUAUCCAUGGCCAGGAUGAAGGUGCGGUAACACGCACUGGAGGUCCGAACCCACUAAUGUUGAAAAAUUAGGGGAUGAGCUGUGGAUAGGGGUGAAAGGCUAAACAAACUUGGAAAUAGCUGGUUCUCUCCGAAAACUAUUUAGGUAGUGCCUCAAGUAUCACCGACGGGGGUAAAGCACUGUUAUGGCUAGGGGGUCAUCGCGACUUACCAAACCAUUGCAAACUCAGAAUACCGUUGAGUGCGAGCUUGGGAGACAGACAUCGGGUGCUAACGUCCGGUGUCGAGAGGGAAACAACCCAGACCGCCGAUUAAGGUCCCCAAGCCAUAGUUAAGUGGGAAACGAGGUGGGAAGGCUCAGACAGCCAGGAGGUUGGCUUAGAAGCAGCCAUCCUUUAAAGAAAGCGUAAUAGCUCACUGGUCGAGUCGUCCUGCGCGGAAGAUGUAACGGGGCUCAAACUAUGCACCGAAAUCGCGGAUAUCCGCAAGGAUAUGGUAGGAGAGCGUUCUGUAAGCCGUUGAAGGUGUCCUGAGAAGGAUGCUGGAGGUAUCAGAAGUGCGAAUGCUGACAUGAGUAGCGAUAAAGGGAGUGAAAAGCUCCCUCGCCGAAAGCCCCAGGUUUCCUGCGCAACGUUCAUCGGCGCAGGGUGAGUCGGCCCCUAAGGCGAGGCUGAAAAGCGUAGUCGAUGGGAAACAGGUCAAUAUUCCUGUACCUCUUGGUAAUGCGAUGGGGGGACGGAGAAGGUUAGGUCAGCCGGGUGUUGGACGUCCCGGUUCAAGCGUGUAGGCAGGUCUCUUAGGCAAAUCCGGGAGAUCAAUGCUCAGGCGUGAUAACGAGUGGCUUUAUGCUGCGAAGUGAUUGAUACCCUGCUUCCAAGAAAAGCCUCUAAGCUUCAGUUACCAGGAGACCGUACCGCAAACCGACACAGGUGGGCAGGAUGAAAAUUCUCAGGCGCUUGAGAGAACUCAGGAGAAGGAACUCGGCAAAUUUGCACCGUAACUUCGGGAGAAGGUGCGCCCUGACAGGUUGUAGCCCCUCGCGGGUGAAGGCCGAAAGGGUUGCAGUGAAAUGGUGGCUGCGACUGUUUAAUAAAAACACAGCACUCUGCAAACACGAAAGUGGACGUAUAGGGUGUGACGCCUGCCCGGUGCCGGAAGGUUAAGUGAUGGGGUGCAAGCUCUUGAUCGAAGCCCCGGUAAACGGCGGCCGUAACUAUAACGGUCCUAAGGUAGCGAAAUUCCUUGUCGGGUAAGUUCCGACCUGCACGAAUGGCGUAACGAUGGCCACACUGUCUCCUCCUGAGACUCAGCGAAGUUGAAAUGGUUGUGAAGAUGCAAUCUCCCCGCGGUUAGACGGAAAGACCCCAUGAACCUUUACUGUAGCUUUGCAUUGGACUUUGAACAAAUCUGUGUAGGAUAGGUGGGAGGCUGUGAAACCGGGACGCUAGUCCGGGUGGAGCCAACCUUGAAAUACCACCCUGGUUUGUUUGAGGUUCUAACCACGGCCCGUGAAUCCGGGUCUGGGACCGUGCAUGGUAGGCAGUUUGACUGGGGCGGUCUCCUCCUAAAGUGUAACGGAGGAGUACGAAGGUACGCUAGGUACGGUCGGACAUCGUGCUGUUAGUGCAAUGGCAAAAGCGUGCUUGACUGCGAGACUCACACGUCGAGCAGGUACGAAAGUAGGUCAUAGUGAUCCGGUGGUUCUGUAUGGAAGGGCCAUCGCUCAACGGAUAAAAGGUACUCUGGGGAUAACAGGCUAAUACCGCCCAAGAGUUCAUAUCGACGGCGGUGUUUGGCACCUCGAUGUCGGCUCAUCACAUCCUGGGGCUGUAGUCGGUCCCAAGGGUAUGGCUGUUCGCCAUUUAAAGUGGUACGUGAGCUGGGUUUAAAACGUCGUGAGACAGUUUGGUCCCUAUCUGCCGUGGGCGCUGGAAAUUUGAAGGGGGCUGCUCCUAGUACGAGAGGACCGGAGUGGACGAACCUCUGGUGUACCGGUUAUGACGCCAGUCGUAUUGCCGGGUAGCUAAGUUCGGAAGAGAUAAACGCUGAAAGCAUCUAAGCGUGAAACUCGCCUUGAGAUGAGAUUUCCCCGGGGACUUGAUCCCCCUGAAGGGUCGUGGUAGACCACCACGUUGAUAGGCUGGAUGUGGAAGCGCAGCAAUGCGUUAAGCUAACCAGUACUAAUUGCCCGUGAGGCUUGAUC
This is a ribosomal RNA of 2969 nucleotides. It matches the Rfam family "Bacterial large subunit ribosomal RNA".